Molecule: ribosomal RNA, 494 nt
Filed under: uncultured bacterium
Lineage: Bacteria
Description: partial 16S ribosomal RNA
Rfam family: Bacterial small subunit ribosomal RNA
Source: RNAcentral
GACGAACGCUGGCGGCGUGCUUAACACAUGCAAGUCGAACGGUGAAGCGCCUUCCUUUUUGGUGGGUGUGGAUGAGUGGCGAACGGGUGAGUAACACGUGAGUAACCUGCCCCCUUCUUCUGGAUAACCGCAUGAAAGUGUGGCUAAUACGGGAUAUUCUGGGUCUGUCGCAUGAUGGGUCUGGGAAAGAUAUUGUUUCGGUGGGGGAUGGGCUCGCGGCCUAUCAGCUUGUUGGUGGGGUGAUGGCCUACCAAGGCGGUGACGGGUAGCCGGCCUGAGAGGGUGGACGGUCACACUGGGACUGAGACACGGACCAGACUCCUACGGGAGGCAGCAGUGGGGAAUAUUGCACAAUGGGCGCAAGCCUGAUGCAGCGACGCCGCGUGAAGGAUGGAGGCCUUCGGGUUGUGAACCUCUUUCGCCAGUGAAGCAGGCCUGCCUCGUUUGUGGGUGGGUUGACGGUAGCUGGAUAAGAAGCGCCGGCUAACUACGUG